Long non-coding RNA from Brassica napus (rape), 1860 nucleotides. RefSeq lists it as uncharacterized. NCBI's taxonomy places the organism in Eukaryota, Viridiplantae, Streptophyta, Magnoliopsida, Brassicales, Brassicaceae. The transcript is spliced from 8 exons. The record is from RefSeq and is a predicted model, not a curated record.
UCCAUGUCAGAUGGAAAAAUCAACCACUAAUAUUGCAGCAAUCAUCCAUGUCAUCUUUGAUUAAUCUUGAUUUGGGCUUCGUAUUUUGUUUUGGGCUUCUUCUUUUACCUUUCCUUAUUUUGUUUUGGGCUUCGUCUCUUAGUUUUGUCGACUCAUUCUCUUUUCUCUCUUUGAGGAUUCCGCCGUUCUUCUCUUACUUUUCGACUUCCACAUCUUCCAUUACUUUUCUCUCCAAAUCCGUUUCAACGCAUACCUUCACCACUAGCUGCUCUAAUCAAACCUUUGCUUGAACUCAUUCAAUGGAUUCUUUUCACCUUCCUCUCCAUUUGUCUAUUUAUAAAUCUCUUUUUCUUAGCUUAUGUCUCGAUUAAAAUUGAUAAGCUUCCCUCAGACAAUCAUCCCGAUGGAACUCAAAGGAAACUCUUCAAUCUCCAGCGACCGCAAGACCAACAAGAAGAUCGUCGCAUCCUCCGCGACUGCAAAUCAAACGUCCAGAUCAACCGGCAAGGCACUGACAGCUAUGUUAUGUUCUUCAACGAGGUCGGUCCCAGAUUGGGACAAUCAGAGGCUAACUCAUUUAUGGGAAGCGAGGUACACGGCAAGAGAGCAUUUUUAAUUGGUUUAGUGCUCCUGCUUAUUGACGAACAUGUUAGACAUGAACUGAUGUGUUGAUUUAUUUUAUUUCUUUAGAUUUCAUCGAUUUGUUCCCAUUAACUAAACAUGAACUGAUGUGUUGAUUUAUUUUAUUGCUUUAAACAUUUGUCUCACGCACAACUCUAUCCUUUCGGAGCUUCAAGCUAACCGAGUGGAGAUUGACGUAGACAGGUUCAGCUUCCAUUCACUUGAGAAUUUUGAAGACAACUAUGGACUCAGAGCUGAUCACAAACAAUCCGUGUUCACUUCAGCUGUUAAGAGGAUUAGCAUGCGUUAAACGAUCUGCAGACAAGUUUCAUUGGAAGAUGAAGAUGGUAAUAAGAUGAUCAAUGAGUAUGUUGUUGACCAGUGAAUAUUUGAUCUGUAGCUAGCCAAGUAAUUUUAUAUCAAACCUCUGUUGAUGGGCAAUCUUAUGCUAUCAAGGGCGUAAAGAUCUCUGACAUAUUUUGAUACUUGAGCUAAGGGUUGCACCUUCAGAUACUGCUAUGAGUGAUCUUCGUGAGUUGAAUUGGGAUGCAUUAACAAAGCAGCUAUAAAACAAAAAGAAAGGGGGGAGGGGGCUAACUGCUCUCUCUAGAAAAAGAGCCGAAGAUGAGGCCAAAUAAAGAGUUGGUGAAACUGCGAACCAGCAAGAAAACAAAGAAAAGUUCUCAAUCAAAAUUCAUGGGUUUCGUGUGAGGAGUAUCAAGGAUUUGUUGUAUGAUUUCUGGAACAAUACAAACCAGUUGCUCAAGGAUUUUUUUUCUGGGAAUUACAACAUGAAUGUUCUUCAUCAUUGUUAGGUAUCUACUCUCAAACAUAGAUACGAAGACAAAAAAAAAUUAAAUGGUUUGUUUAUUUUAAACUUGGUGUUCUAUAUGUGAGCACCUUAUGACAGCCAUUGUACAUUAGUGAUUAUAUAUUUUGGAGUCUUAAUCGCUAUGUGAUUCAGAACAGACUUUGGUCUGAGUUUGUCAUUUGAUUGACAUGUCUAUCAUAUGUUUCCGGAGCCUACAAGUUCUUUGUUUUAUGUAUCGUAGGAACCAACACAAAGGACAGAGUUAAGUUCCGUAUACACAAGCAGGUGACCGACCUCUUCAGCGCUUUGGAUGUAGUGAAGCAGAUCACUUCCAUCACUAUUGAGCCUGGUAUUGAGGACAAGUUCAACACAUCUGAAUCUUAGUGCAUGUGGUUUAGUUUACAAAUUGUCUUUGAAUUUCAAUGACU